RNAcentral lists this ribosomal RNA (494 nucleotides) under uncultured bacterium. Its description in RNAcentral is "partial 16S ribosomal RNA". It matches the Rfam family "Bacterial small subunit ribosomal RNA", at positions 28 to 507 of the family's 1533-position model. The record is from RNAcentral.
GACGAACGCUGGCGGCGUGCUUAACACAUGCAAGUCGAACGGUGAAGCGCCUUCCUUUUUGGUGGGUGUGGAUGAGUGGCGAACGGGUGAGUAACACGUGAGUAACCUGCCCCCUUCUUCUGGAUAACCGCAUGAAAGUGUGGCUAAUACGGGAUAUUCUGGGUCUGUCGCAUGAUGGGUCUGGGAAAGAUAUUGUUUCGGUGGGGGAUGGGCUCGCGGCCUAUCAGCUUGUUGGUGGGGUGAUGGCCUACCAAGGCGGUGACGGGUAGCCGGCCUGAGAGGGUGGACGGUCACACGGGGACUGAGACACGGCCCAGACUCCUACGGGAGGCAGCAGUGGGGAAUAUUGCACAAUGGGCGCAAGCCUGAUGCAGCGACGCCGCGUGAGGGAUGGAGGCCUUCGGGUUGUGAACCUCUUUCGCCAGUGAAGCAGGCCUGCCUCGUUUGUGGGUGGGUCGACGGUAGCUGGAUAAGAAGCGCCGGCUAACUACGUG